GGCUGUGUGAUGAUGACAUAGCGAACUAUUCUUUCGCCUUUUACUAAAGAAUACCGUGUCAGCGUCACAAAUAGCGGCAUACACUAGUUUUUGGAAGGAUCAUCUUUAUCGAGGACU
Small nuclear RNA from Medicago truncatula (barrel medic), 117 nucleotides. It matches the Rfam family "U5 spliceosomal RNA". Rfam says of the family: U5 RNA is a component of both types of known spliceosome. The precise function of this molecule is unknown, though it is known that the 5' loop is required for splice site selection and p220 binding, and that both the 3' stem-loop and the Sm site are important for Sm protein binding and cap methylation. The record is from Rfam. NCBI's taxonomy places the organism in Eukaryota, Viridiplantae, Streptophyta, Magnoliopsida, Fabales, Fabaceae.